GAUGAAGAACGUAGCGAAAUGCGAUAAGUAAUGUGAAUUGCAGAAUUCAGUGAACCAUCGAGUCUUUGAACGCAAGUUGCGCCCGAAGCCACUAGGCCGAGGGCACGCCUGCCUGGGCGUCACACGCCGUUGCCCCCCCAUCUACUCCUUCGGGAUUGCGGGGGGGCGGAUGAUGGCCUCCCGUGCGCCUAGCCGCGCGGUUGGCAUAAAUACCAAGUCCUCGGCGACGCACGCCACGACAAUCGGUGGUUGCGAAACCUCGGUUGCCCGUCGUGUGCGUUCGUCGCGCAUCGAGGGCUCGAAAAAAUGCUCGGCUCCGGCUGGGCUUUCAACGCGACCCCAGGUCAGGCGGGGUUACCCGCUGAAUUUAAGCAUAUCAAUAAGCGGAGGA
Molecule: unclassified non-coding RNA, 391 nt
Filed under: soil metagenome
Description: partial contains 5.8S ribosomal RNA, internal transcribed spacer 2, and large subunit ribosomal RNA
Rfam family: 5.8S ribosomal RNA (bases 1-122)
Source: RNAcentral